Molecule: unclassified non-coding RNA, 497 nt
Filed under: Hevea brasiliensis (rubber tree)
Lineage: Eukaryota; Viridiplantae; Streptophyta; Magnoliopsida; Malpighiales; Euphorbiaceae
Source: RNAcentral
CCGUUCUAAAUGAUGUCGACUCUUGCUUUCUAAAAGUUCUUCCAAAGAUGGCACGCAAGUCAGAAGUCCAUCCAAAAAAGCCUUUCCAUUCGUUGAAUAUGCACACUUGAGUUCGCUGAAUAAUCACCGCUCUAUCUCCGGACUCUUGAGAAAUCAAUACAUUAGGCAGUAAGCUCUUCCAAUUACCUUCCACAGAUGACCUGGCCUCCACGGUGCCACGAACAACAACAAGCUUUCGAUCGGACUCGGAUUGUCCCGAAUCUCCGUCGGGAAUAAUAUGGCGAAGAUCAGAAACGCUAACAUAAGGAGCCUUACGGAGCUCGUUGAGAGAGGAGCAGGAGGCAGUGAGUUUGAGGACGGUACGAACGGCAGCAUAAGCUAGGGCAGCACCCAGAACGGCUCCAUCAAACGAUAAAGCAAAGCGGGAGAGUAAAGUGCCGGUUGCUGUCUCCAUCGCAUUCAACGAGGGAACUGUUUUCACCUUCACAGAGACACGG